Molecule: non-coding RNA, 29 nt
Filed under: Homo sapiens (human)
Lineage: Eukaryota; Metazoa; Chordata; Mammalia; Primates; Hominidae
Source: RNAcentral
UGGGAAGUUCGAAUUCGGUGCAGAACCCA